RNAcentral lists this ribosomal RNA (264 nucleotides) under uncultured bacterium. RNAcentral's name for it is "partial 16S ribosomal RNA". It matches the Rfam family "Bacterial small subunit ribosomal RNA", at positions 90 to 354 of the family's 1533-position model. The record is from RNAcentral.
ACUGAGUGGCGGACGGGUGAGUAACGCGUGGGUAACCUGCCCUGUACAGGGGGACAACAGUUAGAAAUGACUGCUAAUACCGCAUAAGCGCACAGGACCGCAUGGUCCGGUGUGAAAAACUCCGGUGGUACAGGAUGGACCCGCGUCUGAUUAGGUAGUUGGCGGGGUAACGGCCCACCAAGCCGACGAUCAGUAGCCGACCUGAGAGGGUGACCGGCCACAUUGGGACUGAGACACGGCCCAAACUCCUACGGGAGGCAGCAG